AUCUCACGUUCACUUCGUCUUUGCUCCUCCUUCUUCUUCACUGGACGAAGAGAACAUCACAGUGCACUUCACGUAAAUGGUUGUUAACAUCGUCUUUGCUCCUCCUUCUUCUUCAGUUGCUAUUCUUUUUCAGUUGUUAACAUCACGCAAAUGAUUUUGGGUAGAAUAACUAUAGAGAUAAAUUAAGUUAGGGUUCACGUUCAAUUGAUUUUUAAGAAAUUAGGUUUUGUGGUUGUUUAAUUGGGGGUUUUAGUUGAUGAAUUAUAGAGAAAUUGCGGGACAUGGAGAAGAUAAGGUGGUCCAAUUAGUCAGGAUCGAAUGGUGCUGCUUCACGAAUUAUUGAUAAAUCGAUUUCUCUUCUUCAUGUUCUUCAAUUGUGUAUCAAUUUGUUGGAAUUUCACAAAUAAUUGAUGGAACAAUUUAGAGGUUUGUUCAAAUUUGGUGUUACUUUAAGUUAAUUGAAAUAGGUUUAAGCAUUGGGUGAUGUUUGGUCUUGUAUUUUGUUAAUUUUGUUUGCUUAAUUUUGAAUUUUAGGGCUAGAGGAGUAUAUGAAUGAAUGAUGAAUCAGUAGAUAGAUGGUUGUAACAAUACAAGGAGACAAGUUAGAGAAGAUGUUGAUGUAAAUGAGUAUGUGAAUGAAUUAAAAUGUGAUAACGAUUCAUGAAUCAUGAAGGUUUCGCGAAUGGGUGUAUUUUUCUCAGAUUCAAAUGGAUUUGUUUUUCACUUUUUCUAUAUGUUUCGAAACUUUUUUUUUGUUUUUUUGUAAUAGGUAAUAAACCCGGUACCGGACUGGAAUCUCCGGUAAAGGUCCAGGUACCAGUACCUCAUUUCAACACCAGGUACAGGGAUCGGUUUCAUAGGAGAACCGGACUGAACCGACCCUUGUGCAGCCUUAAUCACUGUUAUAAAAAAAGGUGCACUUUGUGUCCUUGAUCAAAGAGUCAAAGAGUGGACAGGAUUUACCAGGGAGGGUAAUCCGGCGGCCCAGGUAAGACGGAUCGAGUUUGACUUCGACGACUGGGAAUGAUCGGCUAUGUUUCGUGUGGGUCGACAGAAGUAGGACGGGGUGACAUAUUUGGUUCACAUAAAACGUUCUCUCUUUUUUUGCUGCUACACUUAUUCUUCUAUCUCGCAGAAACUCUAGAUUUUUGAGAAUAUUUCGUUCAUGCGGUCUGUGCGCUUGAUGUUUUCCGAAGAUUCAGGAGGCAAGGUUUAAUCAAAAAUACGAUGCAGAGGAUAGGAAUUAGAAGCUAUAUCGAUUGGUCAUAGGUGCGAUGGGGGAUUUGGUAGAUGGUCAUAAUUGGUUUAUGUGGAAAAAGCUAAAGGGAGACAGUGUAGAUCAUAAAGCUGCUUUUCCUCUAUUACCAUGCCUGAUCUCACCACAUUAGCCUUAAUAGAAGCAGAUACCAUAAUGUGAUAUUGUGUUAAUAGUGUUCCAGGAUAUAUUCGAGUUUAUUGUGAUAUUGUUUUUGGCUUGAUUAUUACAGGUACAGACUCUGCAGCAGGGCGAUGAAAUGUUACACCAUUAUCCAUAAUCAAGGAUGAAGACAACUUUUUGCUGGAUUUAGCUCUUAACUCAAUGAAGAUCAUAUCAGAAUUCUAAAAUCUUCAUGAUCUUGCCGCACACAUUCAGCCUAAAGGUUCUUCAAUUGUUGAUUAGGUAUUGACAAGUCUGCCAGGUGAAGCACACCAAAAAGGUUGGCGUCUAUUAUGUAAUAUUCUGAGAAUUGAGAUGAAGAAGAGCGAAGUAAACAACUGUUGCACCCAGGGAAGAGAAAAAGCAUUGCAUUGUUCCCCUAAGAACAAUUGACAAUCUUACUUAGGGUAUUCUGAUCAAGUAUCUUUAUCAGAUUCUGCUUAUACUGCUGCUUACUGAGCAUGAAAGAGAACUUGGUGAAACAAAUGAAAAUAGUUAAAAACUGCAACAAACUUGCAAGAGCUUCUGGAUAGUAUUGCAGAAGUUAUUUAUUCUUU
Papaver somniferum (opium poppy) is the source of this 1974-nucleotide long non-coding RNA. RefSeq lists it as uncharacterized. The record is from RefSeq and is a predicted model, not a curated record. The transcript has 6 exons. NCBI's taxonomy places the organism in Eukaryota, Viridiplantae, Streptophyta, Magnoliopsida, Ranunculales, Papaveraceae.